CUGCUGGAGUCCAUGAGCGUCUCGAGGAUUUGGGGGAGCCCCCGUACACUUGUCCCUCUUCAUGGGGACAGCAAUGUGAGUUCCUCCAGGUGGAAGUCCGUUUUCAGGCAGUGAGUCUCCAAGAGAUUUCACACAACCUUGUGGGGAACGGGGCUGUGGGACCAUGCAUGGCCCAGACGGGGCCCUAGAAACAAGCUAAGAAGAGAGACCUGGUGGUCCGGCGGUGGAACUGGGACAAUGGAGUGGAACGUCCAACCAUGCCAGGAGGAUCCAUGUGCUCAUAAGCAAUGGGAGUGAAUGAAGAGCCAGGCCCAGCAACAGAGGGGAGCCUGCCCACAUGGAGCAAAAGGAGCCGGACACCAGAUUCACCCACGGCGCGAUCCCGGUGACGGAGGCAGUGUGAGCAGGCAGGCGGCGGCCACUCUGGGGAAGGGAGAAGGAAUGAGGGUGAGAGGGGCACAGAGGGCCUCCAGGGA
RNAcentral lists this long non-coding RNA (476 nucleotides) under Homo sapiens (human). Its description in RNAcentral is "HSALNT0156556". Lineage: Eukaryota; Metazoa; Chordata; Mammalia; Primates; Hominidae. The record is from RNAcentral.